CCCUGGUUAGCUCAGUUGUUAGAGCGCUCCGCUUGUAAUGGAGAGGUCCCGGGUUCAAUACCCGGACCAGGCG
This is a non-coding RNA of Ixodes scapularis (black-legged tick), 73 nucleotides long. NCBI's taxonomy places the organism in Eukaryota, Metazoa, Arthropoda, Arachnida, Ixodida, Ixodidae. The record is from Rfam.